UACGAAGGGGGCUAGCGUUGUUCGGAAUUACUGGGCGUAAAGCGCGCGCAGGCGGUCUUCCAAGUCAGUGGUGAAAGCCCGGAGCUCAACUCCGGAACUGCCAUUGAAACUGUUAGACUUGAGUAUGAGAGAGGUGAGUGGAAUUCCCAGUGUAGAGGUGAAAUUCGUAGAUAUUGGGAAGAACACCGGUGGCGAAGGCGGCAACCUGGUCCUUGACUGACGCUGAGGCGCGAAAGCGUGGGGAGCAAACAGG
Molecule: ribosomal RNA, 253 nt
Filed under: uncultured bacterium
Lineage: Bacteria
Description: partial 16S ribosomal RNA
Rfam family: Bacterial small subunit ribosomal RNA
Source: RNAcentral